This 327-nucleotide ribosomal RNA is filed under the name uncultured eukaryote. RNAcentral describes it as "partial 18S ribosomal RNA". It matches the Rfam family "Eukaryotic small subunit ribosomal RNA", at positions 1470 to 1796 of the family's 1831-position model. The record is from RNAcentral.
CCCUUAGAUGUUCUGGGCCGCACGCGUGCUACACUGACGCAUUCAACGAGUCUAAAACCUGGUCUGAUAGGGCUGGGUAAUCUUUUGAAAGUGCAUCGUGAUUGGGAUAGAUUAUUGCAAUUGUUAAUCUUGAACGAGGAAUUCCUAGUAAACGCGAGUCAUCAGCUCGCAUUGAUUACGUCCCUGCCCUUUGUACACACCGCCCGUCGCACCUACCGAUUGAAUGGUUCGGUGAAGAUCUCGGACUUCGAUAUUUAUUCUUUAUUGAGUUUAUAUUGUGAGAAGUUAUCUAAACCUCAUCAUUUAGAGGAAGGUGAAGUCGUAACA